Molecule: ribosomal RNA, 533 nt
Filed under: uncultured bacterium
Lineage: Bacteria
Description: bacterial SSU rRNA
Rfam family: Bacterial small subunit ribosomal RNA
Source: RNAcentral
CCUACGGGAGGCAGCAGUAAGGGAUAUUGCGACAAUGGGCGAAAGCCUGACGCAGCAACGCCGCGUGUGGGAUGACGGCCUUCGGGUUGUAAACCACUUUUCGGGGGGAAGAGGAAGGACGGUACCCCCGGAAUAAGUCUCGGCUAACUACGUGCCAGCAGCCGCGGUAAAACGUAGGAGGCGAGCGUUAUCCGGAUUUACUGGGUGUAAAGCGCGUGCAGGCGGUAUCGUAAGUCGUGCGUGAAAGCUCCCGGCUCAACCGGGCGAGGACGUGCGGAACUGCGAUACUGGAGGUAGGUAGAGGCGUGUGGAAUUCCGGGUGUAGUGGUGAAAUGCGUAGAUAUCCGGAGGAACACCAGUGGCGAAGGCGACACGCUGGGCCUGACCUGACGCUAAGACGCGAAAGCAUGGGUAGCGAACGGGAUUAGAAACCCCGGUAGUCCAUGCCGUAAACGAUGCUGACUAGGUGUUGCGGGUAUAGAUUCCGGCAGUGCCGAAGCUAACGUGAUAAGUCAGCCACCUGGGGACUACGG